AUGAGCUCUUCCUGUGCUUUAUACAUUUGCCACGCUGCAGAGAGACGCCCAGCGUCCUUGCCAGAGUCUGAGUAUCCAAUCAUGACCUCCUGUUUGCCAUUGAUCCUAUCCAUAUACCAGUCUACUGAAAAUAGGCGUGCAACCGCUGCUGGAGCGGCUUCAAGAUCUGCAAGCUUCUCAAAUAGUGGAACAACUCUCAAUGGCUUUUUUAUAUGGCACUCACGCUGUAAAAGCUCAACAGCAAGCACAUCGGAUGGGGCAGUUGCCAUUGAGAUGAUAUAAGCACCAAAACAAUCUGCUGGAAGCUCAGCAAGGAUAUGA
RNAcentral lists this ribosomal RNA (321 nucleotides) under Triticum aestivum (bread wheat). RNAcentral's name for it is "partial small subunit ribosomal RNA". Lineage: Eukaryota; Viridiplantae; Streptophyta; Magnoliopsida; Poales; Poaceae. The record is from RNAcentral.